This 318-nucleotide small RNA is filed under the name Xanthomonas campestris pv. campestris. Its description in RNAcentral is "ncRNA of unknown function". The record is from RNAcentral. Lineage: Bacteria; Pseudomonadati; Pseudomonadota; Gammaproteobacteria; Lysobacterales; Lysobacteraceae.
GCCAACGAUGACGAACGCGUCGCCACGCGCCUUCAAGAGUGAAUCAUCGAUGGGAAGGUCUUGGCGGUAGCAGUGCUGUGCUGCGCGGCUGCUAUGAGUACUCCGCCGCCAAAUGCAGGUGAGCUGUGCCCUUCUCCCACCGGGAGAAGGUGCCCGUAGGGCGGAUGAGGGUGCGCCGCAGGUAUCCACCGGCGACCAGCGAUGAGGAACGCGUCGCCACGCGCCUUCAACCCUGCAUCAUCGAUGGCGAAGGUUUAGCGGUGGAAGUCUGCUGCCGCGCGUGAGUCGGUGGCUUUGCCUCGUACCCUCACCCCAACC